Molecule: ribosomal RNA, 411 nt
Filed under: uncultured bacterium
Lineage: Bacteria
Description: bacterial SSU rRNA
Rfam family: Bacterial small subunit ribosomal RNA
Source: RNAcentral
GGGUGCAAGCGUUACUCGGAAUUACUGGGCGUAAAGCGUGCGUAGGUGGUUUGUUAAGUCUGCUGUGAAAGCCCCGGGCUCAACCUGGGAAUGGCAGUGGAUACUGGCAAGCUAGAGUGCGGUAGAGGGGUGUGGAAUUCCCGGUGUAGCGGUGAAAUGCGUAGAGAUCGGGAGGAACACCAGUGGCGAAGGCGGCACCCUGGACCAGCACUGACACUGAGGCACGAAAGCGUGGGGAGCAAACAGGAUUAGAUACCCUGGUAGUCCACGCCCUAAACGAUGCGAACUGGACGUUGGGAGCAACUUGGCUCUCAGUGUCGAAGCUAACGCGUUAAGUUCGCCGCCUGGGGAGUACGGUCGCAAGACUGAAACUCAAAGGAAUUGACGGGGGCCCGCACAAGCGGUGGAGUA